UCUUCUUAUCAAUAUAUGAACAUGAAGGAAACUUCGUGGAAACUUACAAAAGGACGACAAGUACGUGGCGGUGUCACGGGGGUUGUCGUUACUUACUCUUCUUCAAGGGGCCACGACUCACGAGCUUCCAACUUUGAUCCCAAUAUUCUUAUUAAAACUACAAUAACCCAUGUAGACAAGAAAAAACCAAUAACUGAGGUGAAAGUACAUUUGGUUUUCAUUUUCUGGCAAACAAAUUUGUGUUUUUUGGUCAGGAGGUACUACAGCUACAGCUCUUCCUGACGGACCUUCUUGAGUUACAAAGGGGUAUGCAUGCUCAAGUGGGGAGAUCGUUAUAGAAUCUCCAACACUCUGACCAAGGACAUAUGAGAUUGAGAAAAGUGUAGACUUCCUUUGUUUGCCGUAAGGGGUAGUCGUCGGUGGCAAAAGGAUCUUUCUGAUUUGGAGAAGCUCAGAAGACUGUAAUUGUUACUUUGAUCCUUACUUCAAAUCUCUCGGUUUUGAGUUGUUUUGACAUUGGGGUAUAGUAAUACAAGACAUAAAAAAAUCUCUCACAUUUUGCAUGUUGAGAGCACUUCCGAUUCACAGUAUGAUAAAUAGUGUUUAUUUUUCUUCAUGGGUUGGGUAUCUUUCUUUGUCAUUCCAAAUUAAUGCAAAACCAGUUGAAGAAGAUUGGAAUUAAUAGUAGUUCUAGAAGAACUAUUAGUUUAUAUAUAAAUAGUCGACUGUUACACUCGA
This is a long non-coding RNA of Camelina sativa (false flax), 738 nucleotides long. RefSeq lists it as uncharacterized. The record is from RefSeq and is a predicted model, not a curated record. Lineage: Eukaryota; Viridiplantae; Streptophyta; Magnoliopsida; Brassicales; Brassicaceae.